CACCUGGCUAAUACUGCCUUUGCUCUGCCCGAUCCCGUCAGAUCUCGGAAGCUAAGCAGGGAAGGACCUGGUUGGUACUUGGAUGGGAGACCGUUUGGGAACACCAGGAAGUCUGGGUGA
RNAcentral lists this ribosomal RNA (120 nucleotides) under Neogobius melanostomus (round goby). Lineage: Eukaryota; Metazoa; Chordata; Actinopteri; Gobiiformes; Gobiidae. The record is from RNAcentral.